CGAACGCUGGCGGCGUGCUUAACACAUGCACGUCGAACGGAAAGGCCCUGCUUUUGUGGGGUGCUCGAGUGGCGAACGGGUGAGUAACACGUGAGUAACCUGCCCUUGACUUUGGGAUAACUUCAGGAAACUGGGGCUAAUACCGGAUAGGAGCUCCUGCUGCAUGGUGGGGGUUGGAAAGUUUCGGCGGUUGGGGAUGGACUCGCGGCUUAUCAGCUUGUUGGUGGGGUAGUGGCUUACCAAGGCUUUGACGGGUAGCCGGCCUGAGAGGGUGACCGGCCACAUUGGGACUGAGAUACGGCCCAGACUCCUACGGGAGGCAGCAGUGGGGAAUAUUGCACAAUGGGCGGAAGCCUGAUGCAGCAACGCCGCGUGCGGGAUGACGGUCUUCGGGUUGUAAACCGCUUUCGCCUGUGACGAAGCGUGAGUGACGGUAAUGGGUAAAGAAGCACCGGCUAACUACGUG
Molecule: ribosomal RNA, 466 nt
Filed under: uncultured bacterium
Lineage: Bacteria
Description: partial 16S ribosomal RNA
Rfam family: Bacterial small subunit ribosomal RNA
Source: RNAcentral